AUUGAACGCUGGCGGCAGGCCUAACACAUGCAAGUCGAACUAAUGUCGGACGGGUGAGUAAUGUCUGGGACACUGCCUGAUGGAGGGGGAUAACUACUGGAAACGGUAGCUACUACCGCAUACCCGCGAAUGUACCCACAUGUGAUGAGCUAGUAGGUGGGGUAAAGGCUCCCCAAGACGACGAUCCCUAGCUGGUCUGAGAGGAUGACCAGCCACACUGGAGCUGAGUCCCGGUCCAGACUCCUACGGGAGGCCGCAGUGGGGAAUAUUGCACCAUGGGCGGAAGCCUGAUGCAGCCAUGCCGCGUGUAUGAAGAUGGCCUUCGGGUUGUAAAGUACUUUCAGCGGGGAGGUGUUACCCGCAGAAGAAGCACCGGCUAACUCCGGGCCAGCAGCCGCGGUAAUUC
Molecule: ribosomal RNA, 406 nt
Filed under: uncultured bacterium
Lineage: Bacteria
Description: partial 16S ribosomal RNA
Rfam family: Bacterial small subunit ribosomal RNA
Source: RNAcentral